GGCACUAUAGCCAAGUGGUUAAGGUGACAGAUUAGAAUUCAAAGUAGCUGAUGAUUCUAUCUGUUACUCUCUGAGUGCGCAGGUUCAAAUCCUGCUGGUGUCG
Molecule: transfer RNA, 103 nt
Filed under: Desarmillaria tabescens
Lineage: Eukaryota; Fungi; Basidiomycota; Agaricomycetes; Agaricales; Physalacriaceae
Description: Armillaria tabescens (ringless honey mushroom) tRNA
Rfam family: tRNA
About the family: Transfer RNA (tRNA) molecules are approximately 80 nucleotides in length. Their secondary structure includes four short double-helical elements and three loops (D, anti-codon, and T loops).
Source: Rfam by way of RNAcentral